UACAGAGGGUGCGAGCGUUGUCCGGAAUUACUGGGCGUAAAGGGCUCGUAGGCGGCCAACUAAGUCGGAUGUGAAAUCCCCAGGCUCAACUUGGGAACUGCAUCCGAUACUGGAUGGCUUGAAUUCGGGAGAGGGAUGCAGAAUUCCAGGUGUAGCGGUGAAAUGCGUAGAUAUCUGGAGGAAUACCGGUGGCGAAGGCGGCAUCCUGGACCGACAUUGACGCUGAGGAGCGAAAGCUAGGGGAGCAAACGGG
RNAcentral lists this ribosomal RNA (253 nucleotides) under uncultured bacterium. RNAcentral's name for it is "partial 16S ribosomal RNA". It matches the Rfam family "Bacterial small subunit ribosomal RNA", at positions 524 to 776 of the family's 1533-position model. The record is from RNAcentral.